Small nuclear RNA from Choloepus didactylus (southern two-toed sloth), 102 nucleotides. The record is from RefSeq and is a predicted model, not a curated record. NCBI's taxonomy places the organism in Eukaryota, Metazoa, Chordata, Mammalia, Pilosa, Megalonychidae.
UCACUUCAGCAGUCUAUGUACUAAAAUAAGAUUGACACAGAGAAGAUUAGCAUGGCCCCUGUGCAAGGAUGACAUAAAGUUUUUGAAGCAUUCCAAACAAAA